CUACGGGCCGCACCAGUGAGGAAUAUUGCACAAUGGGGGGAACCCUGAUGCAGCAACGCCGCGUGGAGGAUGACGCAUUUCGGUGUGUAAACUCCUUUUAUAUGUCAAGAAAAUGACGGUAGCAUAUGAAUAAGCACCGGCUAACUCCGUGCCAGCAGCCGCGGUAAUACGGAGGGUGCAAGCGUUACUCGGAAUCACUGGGCGUAAAGGACGCGUAGGCGGGUUGGAAAGUCAGGUGUGAAAUCCUACAGCUUAACUGUAGAACUGCACUUGAAACUACCAACCUAGAGUAUGGGAGGGGGAGAUGGAAUUAGUGGUGUAGGGGUAAAAUCCGUAGAUAUCACUAGGAAUACCGAAAGCGAAGGCGAUCUCCUGGAACAUAACUGAUGCUAAGGUGUGAAAGCGUGGGGAGCAAACAGGAUUAGAUACCCCUGUAGUC
This 439-nucleotide ribosomal RNA is filed under the name uncultured bacterium. RNAcentral describes it as "partial 16S ribosomal RNA". It matches the Rfam family "Bacterial small subunit ribosomal RNA", at positions 339 to 795 of the family's 1533-position model. The record is from RNAcentral.